RNAcentral lists this ribosomal RNA (466 nucleotides) under uncultured bacterium. RNAcentral's name for it is "bacterial SSU rRNA". It matches the Rfam family "Bacterial small subunit ribosomal RNA", at positions 331 to 794 of the family's 1533-position model. The record is from RNAcentral.
CCAGACUCCUACGGGAGGCAGCAGUGAGGAAUAUUGGUCAAUGGGCGGGAGCCUGAACCAGCCAAGUCGCGUGAGGGAAGACGGUCCUACGGAUUGUAAACCUCUUUUGCCGGGGAGCAACGGGGUCCUUGCGAGGGCCCAAUGAGAGUACCCGGAGAAAAAGCAUCGGCUAACUCCGUGCCAGCAGCCGCGGUAAUACGGAGGAUGCGAGCGUUAUCCGGAUUUAUUGGGUUUAAGGGGUGCGUAGGCGGGCUGUUAAGUCAGCGGUCAAAUGUCGGGGCUCAACCCCGUCGUGCCGUUGAAACUGACGCCCUUGAGUGAGUGGGAAGUAAGCGGAAUGCGUGGUGUAGCGGUGAAAUGCAUAGAUAUCACGCAGAACCCCGAUUGCGAAGGCAGCCUUCCGGCGCCCUACUGACGCUGAGGCACGAAAGUGCGGGGAUCGAACAGGAUUAGAUACCCCGGUAUA